Molecule: RNA transcript, 8569 nt
Organism: Biomphalaria glabrata
Lineage: Eukaryota; Metazoa; Mollusca; Gastropoda; Planorbidae
Exons: 2
Source: RefSeq, a predicted model, not a curated record
GCUGGCGCUGUUUGAGCUAUUUUUAUCUAUUUUGUAUAUUUUAUUUUAAUUACUUUUAUAGGCUAGUGCUGAGUGCAUGCCUGUCUCCCGCCAGCUCUUUUACUUUAGAAGUUAGUUGGUACGAGUCAUGACCUGGCUCUAUAAAUAGAAUGGAUGAUGUAGUGUCUUGUCCCUUUUUCCGGUGUUGACCGCUGGUCAGUGGUUGAUUAGCUGGUCUGUGUGACCAAACAGUGAUUUAGAAAGUUUUUAUUUAGUGUUGUUCUGUGUGGACUGCCUGUAAGUUGAGGAAUUGUUUGUUUUACUUUAGUUAUUUCUAAUUAAGAUUUAUUGUUUUCAGAUGUGUUUUAUUAAGUUUAGAUGUAAACGGAUUAGUGCCGUGCAUCACAGGCUAAUUAGUUAGCCAUUGUCUAUGAUGGAACCGGAAGGUCCAUUAAUCUGGAUAGCGUCACAAACCCCCCCCCCCCUUCCCCCGAGCCAUCUCUAAUGAUCUCCUUGUUGCUGUUCUAUACAAUGUUUUAUUAUCUUAUGUUUCUAAAAGUAUUUCCAUUAAUAUUAUAAUGAUUAUUUUAUAUAUUUUUUAUGUUUGUUUAUUUUUGUAAUUGCAGGCUAUAAUUCCUGUUGUGCCUGUCUGCUUUUCUGCCGCUAGUAACUUACUGUUUAGUGUUGGGGUAAUUUAGGUUAUUUGAGUGGUUUAUUGUUUUGUAGUGGGUAUAUUUGUUUUAUUACUGUUUUUUUGUGUCAAUGUAAAUAAAGUGUAUAUAGUUUAUUUUAUAAAUUAAAGUUGGCUGUUUUCCUUUUAGUUAGCUAGUUUAGUUUAAUUGUGCUGUCUGAUCGCCCAGGCGAAGGCCGCCCUUUGGUCGCAGACCGGAGUGCACAGAUCGGACCCACACGGUAGAGUUACCAUCAACCUACCGGUUAAAAAAUAAAAUCUGUUUAGCAGAAAAAGGUCUAGUGCCUCCUGACCUGCUAACAGAAAACUGGUGUCAGAAGUGGGAUCUGUGCUUGAGUGAUCAGACGCACAUUGUUUUUGAGAUUAGGUUGUUGUUAGGUUUCUUUAGGCUUUCGUUAGGCAUUGCUAGGAUCGAUUAAGUUAGUAUUGGUUUUAGGACUUGGCAGCAGUGUUAAGAAAUUUAAUUUGUUGUAGGUUGAUAGGAAGUUGUUGGUAGAUGGAUAGUUUAAUUUGCUGUAGGAGUUUUGUUUAAUUUUUCUUGCUGUGGUCAGUAAUGAGUUGUUGUUUUUUUGGUAGUUAAGAUGUAAGGCUUAGAAGUGAGUUUUUAUAGGAUGUGUGUCUAGGAGCUUGUCGGUUUUGGCAUUUAGAGUUGUAUAGUAUUUUUAGAUAUGGGUAUUAGGUUGGUCUUUUAGGUCAGUAGAGGCUACUAGUGUUAGGGGACUAGGUCAGCAUUGUUAGGGAGCAGUAGCAGCAGGAAGCAUGCAGCAGUCUACGACAGUAAUCAUGGUGCCUCGUGCUGAUGCAACACUCCGGAAGUUCAAUGGAGACGGCCCAGUUGGAGAAUUGGAGGAUUUCCUCCAAAGCAUUGAGAGGUGUUGGCGACUUCAACAUCUCCAACGACCAGAGGACAAGUGUGACCUCCUAUAUGCACACUUGGGAGAGUCUGUGAAAGAUGAACUGAGGUGUCAUCCUCAGGUUUCCUGGGACAGUCCAGAAGAGAUUGUCGAUAUUCUUAGGUCUGAGUAUGGAGACAGAAGAAACAUCUCCGUAGUAAUGGAGGAAUUCAUAGGAGUACGGCAGCAACCCAGAGAAACGGUGCAAUCCUAUACCAUUCGUCUGCAAGCUGCAUAUGUUGCACUAGCAGGCAAGCUGCAAUCCAAGCAAGUGUUUGUGCAUGAGGAUGUAAUUCUCAGAGAACACUUUGUGAACCACCUAAGUGAUGAUUUGCUAAGGCGCCUUCUGCGGGAAAAGCUCUGGGAGCACCCCGAAACGUCUUUUGUUGCCCUGAGAGAGACAGCCAUGAGGUGGACUGAAGAAGGGGUCCACACCAGCAACAAUGUUUGUCAACAGUUGGCCAAUUUAUCCCACCAAGUGGAUCAACUGACAGCCAAAUUGUCAUCGCAUUUCAGGUCUGGUGGUAUUCGCACCCGGAGACCACUGAGAAAAUCCAGGAGGUGUUACUCCUGUGGUAUGCCAGGCCAUCUAGCCAGAGACUGCAAGUCCCAGAAGACACGCAUGCAAAUUAAGGGUCAGUCUCACUCUGCUCAGCGACCUUUAGGUUGUCAAAAUUGCGGAAGCUGGAGACAUCUGACCAGUAGUUGUCCCAAAGAUAACAUUGACAUAAUCCAGGUUGCCCCUAAACAACCAGAAGAGAGUCCAUCACAACCAUCUACGGUUUUCAUUGUCAAGACAGUGACGUUACCAACAGUGGAACCCAAGGUCAUACCGAUGGUGAAUGCAGUCGAUUCCACUGGAGGUGAAGAUAUGUUAAAUACCGUAACCUCAGAAAAUCAAGUUACCGACUCUGACCAAGAAGGCAGUCUUGCACCUGCCUCUGUGGACGUAGAAUGCCCAAUUUUAAUACAGCCGUGCAAAAAUUUAUCUGUAAUCCCAGAAGUAUGUUCAGAUUCAUUUGGCACAUGGGCGUCUCUAAAGGCCUUAACCACUACAUGUACCGGUACGAAAGACAAACUGGAAAAUAUUGAGAACCUAGCUCAAACAUUUAUUCGAAACUGUGUGGAGUCGAAAAUUCUUAAAUUUCUAUCAUUUGUUAUACUGUGUAUAUUGCUAUGUCUUUGAUGUAUUUUUUUCAUUUGAGUUUUUAUUUCUAAAUUUGCUACUGAUAAUAUUUAUGCAUUAUGUUCGCCGAGAAUGUAUUUGAGCCUGUGGCUGUAGCUCUGUGUUGGUCUGUGUGACCUUGUAGAAAUCUGAAUAGUUUUGAUAAGUCUGUGUGACUAGGUCUGCCAAACCUUUGUGGUUUCAAUUCCCUUUAAGCCUGUGUGGUUUCGUUUCCCCUUCAAACCUGUGUGGUUUUGUUUCCUCUUAGCCUGGGUGGCAUACUUGUACUGAGAUUUGCUGACCAGACAUGUUUUGCAUUGUCUAUGUCUGAUGUCAAUUGAAGAUUCUUUGAAUAUAUGUAUGUAAAAUAUAAUGUAUAUAAUAUUUUUUUAUUUCUAUAUUUUGAUGCACUGUAUUUCUUUUUUUCUUGCUAUGUCUUUGAUUUAUGCAUUUAUGUGACGAUUCUCACUUUAGUAUUUUAUUGGCAGAAUAAUUGUGUCCUGUUGCCUGUUUUGCAACAUGGAAUUUUCAGAGUGUGCAUGAGUAGGUAGUCCAGAGAGUUAGGUUGUCUGAAAUGGAUAGUGGUAUUGUUUUACGGGUUUUUAGAACUUGCUGUAGAUGUUGAAUUUGUGUAUUGUGAUAGCACUGUAAUUUUGUAGUAUUAUUGUUUUGCGGGGACGCAAAAGUUUUGAGCGGGGGUGAAUGUGAGCUGGCGCUGUUUGAGCUAUUUUUAUCUAUUUUGUAUAUUUUAUUUUAAUUACUUUUAUAGGCUAGUGCUGAGUGCAUGCCUGUCUCCCGCCAGCUCUUUUACUUUAGAAGUUAGUUGGUACGAGUCAUGACCUGGCUCUAUAAAUAGAAUGGAUGAUGUAGUGUCUUGUCCCUUUUUCCGGUGUUGACCGCUGGUCAGUGGUUGAUUAGCUGGUCUGUGUGACCAAACAGUGAUUUAGAAAGUUUUUAUUUAGUGUUGUUCUGUGUGGACUGCCUGCUAUAAUUCCUGUUGUGCCUGUCUGCUUUUCUGCCGCUAGUAACUUACUGUUUAGUGUUGGGGUAAUUUAGGUUAUUUGAGUGGUUUAUUGUUUUGUAGUGGGUAUAUUUGUUUUAUUACUGUUUUUUUGUGUCAAUGUAAAUAAAGUGUAUAUAGUUUAUUUUAUAAAUUAAAGUUGGCUGUUUUCCUUUUAGUUAGCUAGUUUAGUUUAAUUGUGCUGUCUGAUCGCCCAGGCGAAGGCCGCCCUUUGGUCGCAGACCGGAGUGCACAGAUCGGACCCACACGGUAGAGUUACCAUCAACCUACCGGUUAAAAAAUAAAAUCUGUUUAGCAGAAAAAGGUCUAGUGCCUCCUGACCUGCUAACAUUUAUUUAUAGUAUAUUUUGUUAACGUAUAAUAACGUAUUUUCGUUGUUUUAUAUCGGGGGAAGGGGGGCAUCAUGAGGAGAUGCCGCACUAGGCAUCAAACACCCUAGCUACGCAACUGUAUAGACGUAUUCAACAUGAGAGGAAAUAAAAUAUACUGAUCAUAGACAUAAAUUAUAUCUAGACUGGAAAUCGGAAACAAAAUCUUAUCCGCGAUUGAUCGAUUCACAGACCUAUAUAUAUAGAUUUUUAUGUGCGUAACUCUUUUUCAAGCUGUAAGGGAAGUAAAAAAGUUAAGUUCCCCUUUCAGACCUUGUGGUCUAUAGGGCAGAUGAUGUAAAGGUCAUCUGAUUCUGUGGCCUACGGUUAACAAGGGUUUCAUGUGGCCAGCACAACGACCAACCGCCUUUACUUUUCCCCAACUAAUGUCAGGUACCCAUUCUUGCUAUUGAGUGUGAUCUAAAUAGGGAAUAGAAUUUUUUGAUAUACUGUAUGACUUCGCUACACGCAAGGCUCGUAAAGUAAUUCUGUACGUAGUAAAGGAUGAAUAGAAUGCAAAGACGAAUGAAUUUUCUAAUAUAAACUCUUAAGUUUCACUUAUAAUCCGUAUCCCUACCGAAACUGGGCCCCGCGAAUUCCGUUUCACAUAGGGUCCCACAAUGUUUAAGUCCGGCCCUGCUAUUUAGUGACGGGUGAAUACAGAGUAGGUUACUUGUUCUCUCCCCCCCCCCCUCUUUUUUUAGCCGCUACGUGAGGUAGAAAUAAAAAAGAGUGAUCUUUCUUGGUCACAACGGUCCGACCCUGCCAUUUACUACUUGUUCACCCCCACCCCUCUUUUUUUUCCUGGCGUAACUCUAGUUCGUCCGACUUGCAGAAAUAAAAGAGUGAUCUUGCUUGCGUGUCCAAACUCUUAUAUCAUAUGAAAAAAUUAUAUAUAUAGAUUUACGCAAAUAUAUAGUAUGAAACAAAGCUAUUUCCUGUUGGUUUCCAUUGAGUUAAUGUUUCAAAAAUCAUAGAUCGAAAUAAUUCAUGUCUGCUGAUUUUUAUCAUCUUAUGUACAUUUAAAUAGAUUGAUUACCUAGAUUAUGUAUCUAAAAAUUGCAAAAUAAUAAUUAUGAGACGAAAAUACUCUUGUGUGAUAUUUGAUGUUCAAUUACUAGAUCUAGAUCUAAACAUUAAAUUAUAUGUUACAUAGGUUAGGGUUAAAAAACAACAACAACCUAACUUCAUACUACUAUUUUACAAAAUAACGCAUUGAUUCAACUUUUUAAAUAAAUGUUCACAUUUUUUGUAGUGUUAAAAGAUCUCCAUGUCCAGUCUAGAUAUUGUUGAUAUGGUGCGCAAAGGUGCACGCGUUCAAUAUAAUAAAGUAUUGUUCUCGGCCAUGACACUAAUUGUGAUUGUUUGUUUAUUGCUGACUGUGAACAUCAAUCUUAAUUAACAGAUAUAAUAUAUAUAAGUCUAUGAUACUGAUAUUUCAAUGACGCGCUAGUGUGCACAUGCAUAUAAUAGGCCUACCAAUAUGUUAAAAGUUCUGGAUCCGCUAGUAGUGUAGGCCUAACUGGUUUAGCAUGCAUGAUUAUUAAGAUUCAUAUAUCAUUUAUGUUAGUCAUACGCUUUGUAAAUUUCCAGUAUUGCGUCUCAUUUAUUGCUUCGCUCAUAUACUCUUCAAGGAAUUGUAGCCCUAAUCUAGAAUCGGAUUUGUGAAUAUGUUUUAUUGGAAAUCACGAUUAUAUUUUUUUGUAUCCACAUCGUUGCAUUGUGAUAAACACAGCGCAUUGUUUCUAGUGAUGGGGUAACCAUGGAAUUAUAGUAUAGGGCUAAUUCUAUGGGGGUAACAUUAGAAAUGUCGUUAACAGAAGUCUCCUGUAGAACUAAAAAUAUCAAAAAUUUAAUUGCAAGACAGACGAAGAACGAAAUAAAUAUAGUGUGUGAAAAUGUUUAUUAAAAAUACAUAUAUCAGAACUCGAUUUUCUUAAGAUUUAAAAUUUUAGGGAAAUCUUAUUGGAGACCUUUUGGCGGCCCUCAGUUGGUGGUGCCCAAGACAUGAUAGCCUCCCCUCCACCUUGACACGCCAAUUUAUACUAUUGAUCUGGCUAGAAUGAUAACGAAAAGGUUCUCACAGACUCCAAUAAUAUUUUUAAACAUUUUAUUUUUGAAACAAAAUAAAUUGAAAGAAUUUAAAAUGAAAAGAAGGACAAAGAUUUCGAAUGACAAGAAAAUAAUAUUUCUUCUAAAAAUUCAUUUUACGAUAUUUAUGCAUGGGAUUAAAGGAAGGUUUUGGGGCCAGAGUCUUGUUCGAGCCUCUUGAUAUAUUAUGCAGCUUUGAAGAACAUGGUCAGCAUUCUCUUGUGAUGCUCCACGAGGGCAGGUCUUGCUUGUCCCGAUAUUUGUUGUCUCAUUUUGUUAUGUCCGGAAAAUUAUGCGUUGGUCAUGUCGAGAUAGCUUAUAGCCUAAUAGGCGUCCUUUUUCUUGUAAUUGGGAUGUGAACUGGUCCAAUAUUCAUUUAUUCUACACUCUAUUAUUUUCAUAUUUUCUUCUGGGUAAAAAAGGGAUUUUCAUUUGUUUUUUUCAUUUAUCAAUACACGACCAUUAUGUCUAUAUGACCAUUAUGUCUCUAUGACCAUUAUGUCUAUAUGACCAUUAUGUCUCUAUGACCAUUAUGCCUAUAAGACCAUUAUGUCAAUAUGACCAUUAUGUCUCUAUGACCAUUAUUUCUUUAAGACCAUUAUGUCUCUAUGACCAUUAUGUCUAUAUGACCAUUAUGUCUAUAUGACCAUUAUGUCAAUAUGACCAUUAUGUCUAUAUGACCAUUAUGUCUAUAUGACCAUUAUGUCUAUAUGACCAUUAUGUCAAUAUGACCAUUAUGUCUAUAUGACCAUUAUGUCUAUAUGACCAUUAUGUCAAUAUGACCAUUAUGUCUAUAUGACCAUUAUGUCUAUAUGACCAUUAUGUCUAUAUGACCAUUAUGUCAAUAUGACCAUUAUGUCUAUAUGACCAUUAUGUCUAUAUGACCAUUAUGUCAAUAUGACCAUUAUGUCUAUAUGACCAUUAUGUCUAUAUGACCAUUAUGUCUCUAUGACCAUUAUGUCUAUAUGACCAUUAUGUCUAUAUGACCAUUAUGUCAAUAUGACCAUUAUGUCUAUAUGACCAUUAUGUCUAUAUGACCAUUAUGUCUAUAUGACCAUCAUGUCUGCUUUUUCAUUGCCUUGUAAUUCAAUGAUAUUGUGUACGAAUCUGGACGGACACUAGAUCUAUAUUUGGAGGCGUCACCGUUUCUUUCCAUUCCGACAUGUCUUUUGCUUUAACCAGUCUUUUCGAUGGCAGGCCCGUCUAUUAUUUGAUGUUGUCUUUCAUAGGCGUAGCCAGGAUUUUUUCUUUUCGGCGAUGGGAUAUUUUUCUCCCUCUCCACCAUAUAUAAAGCUCCUCCUUCGUGAUCUUUCAGGCCCCUCAAUCUAUGCCCUAUGAGGGUUCCACCAGGGCUUCAUCUGGGCCCCACUGAUUUGCGCUCUGGAAAAAUCUUGGGGCUAGACAAUGGACCAGUUUUUUAUAUUUGUUUUUGAAGUGUCACGUACUAUAUUAGAUCUAGAAAAUUUAAAUUGGCUUAGAAUAUAUGCAGAGUUCAUACACACGCGGCGCAAACAAACACGCACAUAUAUCAUAUAGGCCUCUAUGUCGUUAUAGUAGACACGUUUUGAACUACUUUUUGACUUAUAAACAUAAAAUGUUAUGAAAUGUUAUAGUUAAAAAUUACAAUCCAACUUAUUUAAUAAAGUAUAAUAUAAAAUAAACUCAUCACAAUUUCGAUUUCAGCAUUUGUAAAACUGUAAAUGCAAAGAAAGAAAGAAGCAGUAAAACAUAGGAACCUAGACACAUUUUUAUGAAAAUAAAAUAAUUAAAAACAGCAAUAUUGUUUGUAUUAAUAAAAUCUUUGCUCAUGGACAUGAUCUUUGAAUAUCUCACUAUUGUAUUAUUAUUUGUUGUUAAAAAUAUAUCUGGAUAGUAGGCUACUGGUUAGUAGGCCUACCAGAUAAUGUUGUACAUUUGAUGCCUAUUUUUUUACUAUAUUGUUAUAAUUUUUUAGUAAAAAAAGCAUUAAAAUAUACUUUUUUUUUUGCAUUAAAAUGCUCAAUUUGUGUGUUUUCAAUGUUAUUAACUAAUCUGUUUUCACUUAAAGAUUGUAAAAAAAAAAAAAAUAUUUUUUUUAUAUAAUGUUCCUCACGGGCCACUUCCUGCUACGUACACUGCCAGUGUACAUCUCACAGAAUCGUUACUAUAUGGAAUUUUUCAAAAAUUCUAUUUGCAGUGUCUUAGUUUGACCAAUAGAAAUUGAUAUUUAAUAGAAAAUGUAUAUUUAAUGCAGUAAUAAAGUUUUGGUAGUUAAUGGGUUAAUAAUCUAGAGGAGUCUAUCCGAGCCAACAUCAAGGUCAUGUUUUUCUUUUACCUCCCCUCGUAUUAUGUUACGUAAUAACUUUCUGUGCCCACUGAGAU